This 493-nucleotide long non-coding RNA is filed under the name Salmo trutta (river trout). RNAcentral describes it as "lncRNA (ENSSTUG00000018234.1)". Lineage: Eukaryota; Metazoa; Chordata; Actinopteri; Salmoniformes; Salmonidae. The record is from RNAcentral.
CGCGGUGAUGGCGCGCUAGGGCGCAGAGUGGUGUAUACAUGGAUGUGCGUUCGUUGUUGUAAGUGACAAAGGUGUGUGCGUGUGUGUGUGUGUCUAUGUUGGAGCUGCCUGAGAGGAGAGGCCAUUUUGUACAGCGAGGCAGGCAGGCAAGGCGUCUGUACAUGUCUGUGUAUUUUCACGUCAGUUUAUUAACAGGAAGCGUGCCAUUGUGCGUAUGAGAGUGAACAUUUCAGUGUUGGAGGGGCGCGAUCUAGCUGAGCAGUAGUAACAACACCCAAACCGAUGUCUUCACUUUCCUGAGCGUUCACUGUCCUUUCUACACUGUUUCCUCUGUGCAAUGGAUGGGGAUCUGUUCUGCCUCUUUCUUCUGCUGUCCUGUGCGGCCGUACUACCAUGAGCACUUCUACUCCAUCCACAGGUACGUCUGCUCUCUCACCAUCCUCAUAAACAUGCCUCUGACCUCUACCCUGCAUCUGUGAACAUGUACUGUAGG